Molecule: ribosomal RNA, 468 nt
Filed under: uncultured bacterium
Lineage: Bacteria
Description: partial 16S ribosomal RNA
Rfam family: Bacterial small subunit ribosomal RNA
Source: RNAcentral
GACGAACGCUGGCGGCGUGCUUAACACAUGCAAGUCGAACGGAAAGGCCCUGCUUUUGUGGGGUGCUCGAGUGGCGAACGGGUGAGUAACACGUGAGUAACCUGCCCUUGACUUUGGGAUAACUUCAGGAAACUGGGGCUAAUACCGGAUAGGAGCUCCUGCUGCAUGGUGGGGGUUGGAAAGUUUCGGCGGUUGGGGAUGGACUCGCGGCUUAUCAGCUUGUUGGUGGGGUAGUGGCUUACCAAGGCUUUGACGGGUAGCCGGCCUGAGAGGGUGACCGGGCAACUUGGGAAUGGGGAAAGGGCCCAGGUGCUAAGGGGGGGAGGAGGGGGGAAUUUUUGAACAAGGGCCGGAGGCUGAUGGCAGCAACGCGGGGUGCGGAUGACGGCCUUCGGGUUGUAAACCGCUUUCGCCUGUGACGAAGCGUGAGUGACGGUAAUGGGUAAAGAAGCACCGGCUAACUACGUG